UGGCCGGGCCCAUGCAAGCGGUGCUCGUGAAUUUGGUCAGAUACGGAAGUAAGCAGCCAUAAGCGAAAGUAUUGCUGUGCCUGGAAAACCCGGCCUUAU
This 99-nucleotide signal recognition particle RNA is filed under the name Planctomycetes bacterium HGW-Planctomycetes-1. RNAcentral describes it as "signal recognition particle sRNA small type". It matches the Rfam family "Bacterial small signal recognition particle RNA". From Rfam's summary of the family: The signal recognition particle (SRP) is a universally conserved ribonucleoprotein involved in the co-translational targeting of proteins to membranes. Archaeal SRP consists of a 7S RNA and homologues of the eukaryotic SRP19 and SRP54 proteins. In most bacteria, the SRP consists of a 4.5S RNA and the Ffh protein (a homologue of the eukaryotic SRP54 protein). The record is from RNAcentral. Lineage: Bacteria; Pseudomonadati; Planctomycetota.